This is a long non-coding RNA of Vigna radiata var. radiata (mung bean), 778 nucleotides long. RefSeq lists it as uncharacterized. The transcript is spliced from 4 exons. The record is from RefSeq and is a predicted model, not a curated record. Lineage: Eukaryota; Viridiplantae; Streptophyta; Magnoliopsida; Fabales; Fabaceae.
UUUAGCUCCGCAACCAAAUCCUUCAAUCGAGCAUUGUAUUGAAGCGCCAGUUUGUUGGCCAAAUCCACACACUCAUCUUCGUUAAGCUGAUUUAUGGUCUUCUGGUAAGCACAAAGUCAGAGGGUGCCUAGUUUCAUCCACGAUGACCUAUUCAACAAAGACUAUUAAUUACAGAAGACAUUAAAACCAACCCUUAACUCCUAAUUUCGUGUUAUUGGAAAGUAAUACAACAGUCCAUCUGCACUCAACAACUCAAGAAAACCAGUGCCUUCUUGUUACAUAUCCUGUUGUCUCAGUUUUGCUGAAAUGGCAAGUUCCAGAAUGGACCUUCGUUGGACCAAGUUGACCGUGCGUCAUUCAUUUUCAACUAUGUAUGUUUGCACUCUCAACGAACGGUUGACAGAGGAGCAACGGGAACUCAUUUCGAAGACUCCAUUUGCUUGGCUCAAGAUGCAAUGUCGCCAAAUGCACCGGGUGGAAUGUCCAACAACCAAUCACAGCUGAAGACUUAUGUUAGGAUUGGUUCAAGAAGGCGUUUUAAGAGCCAAACACUUGGGACAUCAUACACUGAAAAUGUAGUAGUUAGAAAGAAAAAUGACUAAUUAUUGUAUUAGACUUGAGUGUUAGGACAAGAAAAAGAUGUUGUAAUUAAACCUAUUUGGUUCAAUAUAUAGAACAUCCAUGUUUGGUUCAAUACAUUUAUGUAAUUGGAAAUAAAAUGUGUCUUUUAUUAAAGUGCUUUAUAAUUUGAUUUCCAAGUGAUAAUGUUUGUGGAAAA